GGGUUGCGGACAGUGUCUGGUGGGUAGUUUGACUGGGGCGGUCUCCUCCUAAAGAGUAACGGAGGAGCACGAAGGUCAGCUAAUCCUGGUCGGACAUCAGGAGGUUAGUGCAAUGGCAUAAGCUGGCUUGACUGCGAGCGUGACGGCGCGAGCAGGUGCGAAAGCAGGUCAUAGUGAUCCGGUGGUUCUGAAUGGAAGGGCCAUCGCUCAACGGAUAAAAGGUACUCCGGGGAUAACAGGCUGAUACCGCCCAAGAGUUCAUAUCGACGGCGGUGUUUGGCACCUCGAUGUCGGCUCAUCACAUCCUGGGGCUGAAGUAGGUCCCAAGGGUAUGGCUGUUCGCCAUUUAAAGUGGUACGCGAGCUGGGUUUAGAACGUCGUGAGACAGUUCGGUCCCUAUCUGCCGUGGGCGCUGGAGAAUUGAGGGGGGCUGCUCCUAGUACGAGAGGACCGGAGUGGACGCAUCACUGGUGUUCGGGUUGUCAUGCCAAUGGCAUUGCCCGGUAGCUAAAUGCGGAAGAGAUAAGUGCUGAAAGCAUCUAAGCACGAAACUUGCCCCGAGAUGAGUUCUCCCUGACUCCUUGAG
Molecule: ribosomal RNA, 586 nt
Filed under: Klebsiella oxytoca
Lineage: Bacteria; Pseudomonadati; Pseudomonadota; Gammaproteobacteria; Enterobacterales; Enterobacteriaceae
Description: partial 23S ribosomal RNA
Rfam family: Bacterial large subunit ribosomal RNA
Source: RNAcentral